CUAGAGGCACUCAUAUAGAGUCAUAUUGCUUUGUAGUUUUUCAUAUCGAGUUGUAAGUAAAUAGAAGUGUGAUGCUAUUCAUUAUUUAGGGCACUGUGUGAGUGAGGAAAGGAUGAUGGAGAAAAUGAUUCCCCCACAAGUAGGGAUGAGACUCCAGAUGAAAAAACGAAAAUAUAAAGAAAAGGAAAAAAUAGGAAAAAAGAAAAAAAA
RNAcentral lists this long non-coding RNA (210 nucleotides) under Hordeum vulgare. RNAcentral describes it as "long non-coding RNA (HVUL_LNC017743)". Lineage: Eukaryota; Viridiplantae; Streptophyta; Magnoliopsida; Poales; Poaceae. The record is from RNAcentral.